GAGCAACAGCAGCAGCAUCUUACAGAUAGAGACGACAUUAGCGACACAAUUCGACUUCUAACAUCACGUCAAACUUAUCAAACGAGAUAAUGAAGAAAACCAUAUUCUUCCCAGGAAAGAUGAGAGUGUCUUUCAGGAAGGGUCCAUCUGGCCACCUGAGACAGGACCCUUCAGAGGAGGGUAUGAGAAUACAAAAAAAUCCUUCCCUUCAGGACAAGUCUGCUGCUCAGAAACAUGAGCAUGUGAGGACAAAUGCUCUCACUGAGGUCCUUCAGAGGGGAGGGGAUGUAUCUGACCGACUCGAGGUGAUGGGGGAGUACGUGCUACAGUUUGGAAAAUAUAAGGGGAAACUGUACUCCAUCACCUGUGCUUUAUAGGGCCACCAGCAGCAGUCUCCAGAGCCCCGGCUGUGUCUACACCAACAGGUUUCUCUCCAGCAGUGUGGAGGGAUAACUUGGCCGUGUUCGGGUCUGUUCUGAUGCUUGUGUUAUUCUGUUCUCCAACUAACUGAAGGAAUUAACAUGUCAGCAAUGAUGCCCACAGGACUUAUCCAACUGCCACUGCCACUGUGUCCAGACCCGAUGGACCUGCUCCUCUGAAAGCCACAGUGAAGGCACCGCUGCCGGUCCCUCCUCAGCUGCUCGCCAUUGCCCCAAAGCUCGGGAUUGAAGAGCAGGCGCCAAAUGUGUUGAGACAAAAUUCAUCACCACAUAAUAUGGCCCCUGUGGAAGCGCAGGGAGACACUGUCCUCGAUGAAGCUCUGACUUGCCCAGGGAAGUAUAUCUACUGCCCCUCCAGAGUCUUCUCCUUAUAUAAUGCACAGGGCAUGGAGCAGGAGAUGACGUGGCCGGAGUUCCAGCAGUCUGACUUCUAUGAUGCUGAAAGGGACAGAUGGAUUGCAGACAAAAGGAAGC
Long non-coding RNA from Trematomus bernacchii (emerald rockcod), 914 nucleotides. RefSeq lists it as uncharacterized. NCBI's taxonomy places the organism in Eukaryota, Metazoa, Chordata, Actinopteri, Perciformes, Nototheniidae. The transcript is spliced from 6 exons. The record is from RefSeq and is a predicted model, not a curated record.